CCUACGGGUGGCAGCAGUGAGGAAUAUUGGUCAAUGGACGAGAGUCUGAACCAGCCAAGUAGCGUGAAGGAUGACUGCCCUAUGGGUUGUAAACUUCUUUUAUAAAGGAAUAAAACGAGGCACGUGUGCCUUUUUGCUUGUACUUUAUGAAUAAGGAUCGGUUAACUUCGUGCCAGCCGCCGCGUUAAUACGGAGGAUCCGAGCGUUAUCCGGAUUUAGUGGGUUUAAAGGGAGCGUAGAUGGGUUGUUAAGUCAGUUGUGAAAGUUUGCGGCUCAACCGUAACAGUGCAAUUGAUACUGGCAGUCUUGAGUACAGUUGAGGUAAGCGGAAUUCGUGGUGUAGCGGUGAAAUGCGUAGAUAUCACGAAGAACCCCGAUGGCGAAGGCAGCUUACUAAACUGUGACUGACAUUGAUGCUCGAAAGUGUGGGUAUCAAACAGGAUUAGAUACCCCAGUAGUC
This 460-nucleotide ribosomal RNA is filed under the name uncultured bacterium. Its description in RNAcentral is "partial 16S ribosomal RNA". It matches the Rfam family "Bacterial small subunit ribosomal RNA", at positions 338 to 795 of the family's 1533-position model. The record is from RNAcentral.